Molecule: ribosomal RNA, 433 nt
Filed under: uncultured bacterium
Lineage: Bacteria
Description: partial 16S ribosomal RNA
Rfam family: Bacterial small subunit ribosomal RNA
Source: RNAcentral
AACGAACGCUGGCGGCAUGCCUAACACAUGCAAGUCGAACGAGACCUUCGGGUCUAGUGGCGCACGGGUGCGUAACGCGUGGGAACCUUCCCUUAGGUUCGGAAUAACUCCCCGAAAGGGGUGCUAAUACCGGAUAAUGUCUUCGGACCAAAGAUUUAUCGCCUUUGGAUGGGCCCGCGUUGGAUUAGCUAGUUGUUAGGGUAAAAGCCUAGCAAGGCGACGAUCCAUAGCUGGUCUGAGAGGAUGAUCAGCCACACUGGGACUGAGACACGGCCAAGACUCUUACGGGAGGCAGCAGUGGGGAAUAUUGGAAAAUGGGCGAAAGCCUGAUGCAGCAAUGCCGCGUGAGUGAUGAAGGCCUUAGGGUUGUAAAGCUCUUUUACCCGGGAUGAUAAUGACAGUACCGGGAGAAUAAGCUCCGGCUAACUAAGUG